Molecule: long non-coding RNA, 242 nt
Organism: Chelonia mydas (Green sea turtle)
Lineage: Eukaryota; Metazoa; Chordata; Testudines; Cheloniidae
Exons: 4
Source: RefSeq, a predicted model, not a curated record
CUCCACUUCAUCUUGGAGCAUGUCAACCUCUGGGUCGUGUCCAGGGUGUCCCAGGAGCGAGCCAGGGCCAUCAGGAGCAGCACAGCCCUGCUGAGAUACACAGUCACCCUCCCUGAGUUUGACGCCUGACCAUACAUGAGGCGGAAGAUCUCUGGUGCUAUGACUGGCACCAGGACAGCAGGCUCUUGGGUUACAAGAAUACAGCCAGAGUGGGGGAGGUCUUUGGAAAAUUCUUCUCCGUC